Molecule: ribosomal RNA, 1785 nt
Filed under: uncultured marine Polycystinea
Lineage: Eukaryota; Polycystinea
Description: SSU rRNA
Rfam family: Eukaryotic small subunit ribosomal RNA
Source: RNAcentral
ACCUGGUUGAUCCUGCCAGUAGUCAUAUGCUUGUCUCAAAGAUUAAGCCAUGCAAGUCUAAGUAUAUGCAUUCAUUCGCAACGACUGUAGAUGGCUCAUUAAAACAGUUAUAGUUUAUUUGAUGGUCAACUUCUACAUGGAUAACCGUAGAAAUUCUAGAGCUAAUACAUGCGUCAACACUUGUCGUGAGAUAAGUGGUAUUUAUUAGAUAAAUAUACCAAUUUCUUCGGGGAUGCAGGUGAUUCACAAUAACUUCUCGGAUCGUAUGCCUUUGUGCGACGACAGAUCAUUCAAAUUUCUGCCCCAUCAGCUUUCGAUGGUAGGGUAGUGGCCUACCAUGGCGGUAACGGGUAACGGAGAAUUAGGGUUCGAUUCCGGAGAGGGAGCCUGAGAAACGGCUACCACAUCCAAGGAAGGCAGCAGGCGCGCAAAUUACCCAAUCCUGACUCAGGGAGGUAGUGACAAGACAUAUCAAUGGACUGCGCUCAGCGGGUCAAAUUGAAAUGAGUGCGUUUAAAACAAUUAACGAUUAACAAUUGGAGGGCAAGUCUGGUGCCAGCAGCCGCGGUAAUUCCAGCUCCAAUAGCGUAUACUAAAUUUGUUGCAGUUAAAAAGCUCGUAGUUGGAUUUCUGGUUGGUGCGGCAAGUUGGUCUUAUUGACUUUACGCGUCGUGCUGGUCAUCCUGGGAAGUAGAAGUGUGGGUAUUCAUUUAUUCACUCUAUCAAUUCCCUCGUUUACUUUGAGAAAAUUAGAGUGUUCAAAGCAGGCUUAUGCUUGAAUACAUUAGCAUGGAAUAAUCUUAUAGGACUUCGAGCCUAUUUUGUUGGUUUCUAGGAUUGAAGUAAUGAUUGAUAGGAACGGUUGGGGGCAUCAGUAUUUCAAAGCGAGAGGUGAAAUUCUUGGACCUUUGGAAGACUAACAACUGCGAAAGCAUUUGCCUAGGACGUUUUCUUUAAUCAAGAACGAAAGUUAAGGGAUCGAAGACGAUCAGAUACCGUCGUAGUCUUAACUAUAAACUAUGCCAGCUAGGGAUUGGGAGCUAUCUUCCUUGAUGCUCUCAGCACCUUAUGAGAAAUCAAAGCAUUUGGGUUCCGGGGGGAGUAUGGUCGCAAGGCUGAAACUUAAAGGAAUUGACGGGAGGGCACCACCAGGAGUGGAGCCUGUGGCUUAAUUUGACUCAACACGGGAAAACUUACCAGGUCCGGACGUAGUAAGGAUUGACAGACUGAAGGUCUUUCUUGAUUCUAUGGGUGGUGGUGCAUGGCCGUUCUUAGUUGGUGGAGUGAUUUGUCUGGUUAAUUCCGUUAACGAACGAGACCCCAGCCUGCUAAUUAGUGUGAGGAACCCCGGUUCGAUCAUUCUUCUUAGAGGGACAAGUGUGUGUAUAACCACAGGAAGUUUGGGGCAAUAACAGGUCUGUGAUGCCCUUAGAUGUUCUGGGCCGCACACGGGCUACACUGCAGACUACAACGAGCUUAAACCUUGUUCGAGAGGACCGGGUAAUCUUCUGAGAAGUCUGCGUGAUUGGGAUAGACUAUUGCAAUUAUUAGUCUUCAACGAGGAAUUCCUAGUAAACGCAAGUCAUCAGCUUGCAUUGAUUACGUCCCUGCCCUUUGUACACACCGCCCGUCGCUCCUACCGAUUGGAUGUAUCAGUGAGCUGUCGGGAUUGCUAUCAGAAACUCUUCCGGGAGUGGACGUUCGCGAGAACUUCCGCAAACUUAUUCAUCUAGAGGAAGGAGAAGUCGUAACAAGGUUUCCGUAGGUGAACCUGCRGAAGGAUCA